RNAcentral lists this long non-coding RNA (419 nucleotides) under Eucalyptus grandis. Its description in RNAcentral is "long non-coding RNA (EGRA_LNC004423)". The record is from RNAcentral. Lineage: Eukaryota; Viridiplantae; Streptophyta; Magnoliopsida; Myrtales; Myrtaceae.
UCCACCCAUUUAUUGGAAGAUAACCACCAUAAUUAUGUUGAACACUUGAUUGACUGUUCAAAAUAAUUUGGGCUGGCUGCUCAUAAGCACUUUGUCGUAACAUUCGGUCUACACGGUGAAGUACAAUCUAUUAGAUGUUGAGAUCAAAUGCAAUGCAUUAAUUUACAUAUCACAGAAAAUAACAUUCGAGAUAUAGCUUCAUCUAAUAGAUUGCCUCACGUCCAAUUUGGAUGAUUUGAAGGCCAAAAGCAAAUGUCCUAACCUUAGAAUAACUUGACAUACGUCGAUAGCCCAGUAAGGAGACCUCAUGUUGAUUAGGCAUGUGAGAGUGAGAUGAAUCCCUUGAUGUAUAAAAGAAUUAUUGACAUAUACAAUGGUUGAGCCCCAUGCACGGCAUAAAAGAAAGACUCGAGAGAGGC